This 709-nucleotide ribosomal RNA is filed under the name Staphylococcus agnetis. RNAcentral describes it as "bacterial SSU rRNA". It matches the Rfam family "Bacterial small subunit ribosomal RNA", at positions 1 to 692 of the family's 1533-position model. Lineage: Bacteria; Bacillati; Bacillota; Bacilli; Caryophanales; Staphylococcaceae. The record is from RNAcentral.
UUUAUGGAGAGUUUGAUCCUGGCUCAGGAUGAACGCUGGCGGCGUGCCUAAUACAUGCAAGUCGAGCGAACUGACGAGGAGCUUGCUCCUUUGACGUUAGCGGCGGACGGGUGAGUAACACGUGGGUAACCUACCUAUAAGACUGGAAUAACUCCGGGAAACCGGGGCUAAUGCCGGAUAACAUGUUGAACCGCAUGGUUCAACAGUGAAAGACGGUCUUGCUGUCACUUAUAGAUGGACCCGCGCCGUAUUAGCUAGUUGGUAAGGUAACGGCUUACCAAGGCGACGAUACGUAGCCGACCUGAGAGGGUGAUCGGCCACACUGGAACUGAGACACGGUCCAGACUCCUACGGGAGGCAGCAGUAGGGAAUCUUCCGCAAUGGGCGAAAGCCUGACGGAGCAACGCCGCGUGAGUGAUGAAGGUCUUCGGAUCGUAAAGCUCUGUUGUUAGGGAAGAACAUAUGUGUAAGUAACUGUGCACAUCUUGACGGUACCUAACCAGAAAGCCACGGCUAACUACGUGCCAGCAGCCGCGGUAAUACGUAGGUGGCAAGCGUUAUCCGGAAUUAUUGGGCGUAAAGCGCGCGUAGGCGGUUUUUUAAGUCUGAUGUGAAAGCCCACGGCUCAACCGUGGAGGGUCAUUGGAAACUGGAAAACUUGAGUGCAGAAGAGGAAAGUGGAAUUCCAUGUGUAGCGGUGAAAUGCGCA